This is a long non-coding RNA of Macadamia integrifolia, 784 nucleotides long. RefSeq lists it as uncharacterized. NCBI's taxonomy places the organism in Eukaryota, Viridiplantae, Streptophyta, Magnoliopsida, Proteales, Proteaceae. The transcript has 2 exons. The record is from RefSeq and is a predicted model, not a curated record.
GUGGAGUUCGGGCAGGGGGUGGGAGGGUUUGGCAAGAUGGAGGGCAGUCAGGGGUUGGGGUGCAGCAAAAGGUUGGGAUCGGAGCUCACUGGGUCUUGGCGCAGCUGGACCGCUAUUCACAGUCAUCAAUGUCUCAUUUUAAGAUAGACUUCUUUUGCCAAAUAUUGAAGAACCCAUGACAUCAAGAGCCACGACAUCAAUAGCUAAUGGAAGUCCUUUAACAUUACUGAUUACCUCAUUUGAAAACUCCUUAAGUCAUUUGGUGGAGAAUCAUUCUUAAAUGCAUGCACAGACUGAAGUGUUAAAAAGAUUCAAUAGUCCAAUUCUGGAUGAUAACUGUGACAUGCUUUGACCGGUAAAUGUUCAUCCCUUGACAAUGAUUCUACUUCUCUCAAUCCUAAUGCUCCAAAAGAUGGCAUGAUUAAGAAAGAUUUCUACCUGAGAAAGUAUGGACCUUCGUUUCAGGUGUUCAGGGAAUUGCUUAUAGUAAAACACGAUCUGUCCAAUUAUAUUGAAUGUAUGGCAGAAGCCCAAUAGGAUAAGCUGAGGUGCGAGCCAGGAAGGCGAUAUUGGGCUUGCUCCAGGACCAAAGCCCUCAUCUUCUUCAAGGGCUGCGUACAAGGGGCGGGAGAAGAAGGGCAUUCUGAUAUUUGUUGAUACUUUUUUUUUUAACCUAGAUUAUGUUAGAACUUAUCAUGAUGCUGGUGGUCCUUCAACAGUAUCAUAAGCUGUACACUGAAACAUAUCAAUUUAAAACCAUACUUUGUUCAUCCAUUCCUUAAAA